This is a long non-coding RNA of Rhodamnia argentea, 495 nucleotides long. RefSeq lists it as uncharacterized. NCBI's taxonomy places the organism in Eukaryota, Viridiplantae, Streptophyta, Magnoliopsida, Myrtales, Myrtaceae. The record is from RefSeq and is a predicted model, not a curated record. The transcript is spliced from 2 exons.
AUUUAAGCCUCGAAGUAUCCACUGUUUACUGCGUGUUGUUUGUUCUCCAAGGACAUUAGGUUUAAGCCAUAGCUACCCCAAUCACACCUCUUUUAAAUCUGAUGCAAGAAGUUUGCCAAUUAGUGGAAAUUCUGGAUCAAAGGGAUUCAAAAGUUGUGGAGGUAUAAUGGCAUCAGAAGCAAUUUCUCCUGCGAGAUCUUUUAUGGACAAGGAAACCCUAAUGCUAUGAACAGACAUCAACAAUUUUGAUCAGCUAAACUGUCUGUUCGAAAGAAUGUUAUAAUAGGCAACCUAAGGGAAAAUGAUCAUCUCUUCCAAUGGACCCAUAGUUAAAUGCACUCUAAGAGGCUCUUAUGAGCCUAGGAAAGCAAUUCUACCUUUUAAACCAAAGUUUACUUUAUCAAUCAAUGAACUUGAGCAUCGUUCCUGCUAGCAAUAUCUCCCUGAAGGACCAUUCCUGGAAAAAGCUCUUUUAAAAUCUAAUGCUAUGGUCUU